Small nucleolar RNA from Ailuropoda melanoleuca (giant panda), 105 nucleotides. Its record names the gene U3. It matches the Rfam family "Small nucleolar RNA U3". Rfam says of the family: Small nucleolar RNAs (snoRNAs) are involved in the processing and modification of rRNA in the nucleolus. There are two main classes of snoRNAs: the box C/D class, and the box H/ACA class. The record is from Ensembl. NCBI's taxonomy places the organism in Eukaryota, Metazoa, Chordata, Mammalia, Carnivora, Ursidae.
AAGACUAUACUUUCAGGGAUCAUUUCUAUAGUUUGUUACAACUUCUGGGGCUGGACACCCUGUGGAGGCAUCCUUGCUAAGGUCAAGCAGUUUGUUCUAGAGGGA